AAGUGCCAUUCUUAACGGGAUGGCUUUUCAUUAGUGUAAAGAGCUUUUGGAAUAAGGGCUGGGCAAGACCGGUGCCAGCCGCCGCGGUAACACCGGCAGCUCUAGUGGUAGCAGUUUUUAUUGGGCCUAAAGCGUCCGUAGCCGGUUUAAUAAGUCUCUGGUGAAAUCCUGUAGCUUAACUGUGGGAAUUGCUGGAGAUACUAUUAGACUUGAGACCGGGAGAGGUUAGAGGUACUCCCAGGGUAGAGGUGAAAUUCUGUAAUCCUGGGAGGACCGCCUGUUGCGAAGGCGUCUAACUGGAACGGUUCUGACGGUGAGGGACGAAAGUUAGGGGCGCGAACCGGAUUAGAUACCCGGGUAGUCCUAACUGUAAACGAUGCGGACUUGGUGUUGGGGUGGCUUUGAGCUGCUCCAGUGCCGAAGGGAAGCUGUUAAGUCCGCCGCCUGGGAAGUACGGUCGCAAGACUGAAACUUAA
Molecule: ribosomal RNA, 476 nt
Filed under: uncultured archaeon
Lineage: Archaea
Description: bacterial SSU rRNA
Rfam family: Archaeal small subunit ribosomal RNA
Source: RNAcentral